RNAcentral lists this ribosomal RNA (959 nucleotides) under uncultured bacterium. Its description in RNAcentral is "partial 16S ribosomal RNA". The stretch from base 81 to 441 matches the Rfam family "Bacterial small subunit ribosomal RNA", at positions 46 to 392 of the family's 1533-position model. The record is from RNAcentral.
GAUCCCUUUAGACCGCGCGAUGUUAUAGUCAUUCAACAUCGGUGUANUGGUUUUAANUCUAACACUGGCCGUCGUUUACAGCCUAACACAUGCAAGUCGAACGAGAAAGUGGAGCAAUCCAUGAUAAAGUGGCGAACGGGUGAGUAACACGUGACUACCUACCCUUGAGUGGGGGAUAACCCCGGGAAACCGGGGCUAAUACCGCAUAAUCUCGCAAGAAGCAAAUGUCGUCAAGUCAGCUUAAGGAAGAGGAGAGAUCGUCGGACUGAUUAANCUGGAUUGGUGAAGGUAAACGAUGACUCACCAAGGACGAAUAGAUCAUGUAGCCGGCCUGAGAGGGCGCACGGCCACACUGGAACUGAAACACGGUCCAGACUCCUACGGAGAGGCAAGCAGUAGGGGAAUUUUUAGCUGCAAUGGGGNGAAACCCUAGACGCAAGCAGCAGCCGCUGUGGAGAGAUAGAAAGUUCCUUAGUGAACGUAAACUCCUUUUCGACCGGNGACGAUAACUGACAGAGUAACCCAGAGGUAAAGAACAGCAAAGGCCCCCCCAGGGACAUUGGACCAUAUCAGAGUAAGCCCAAAGACCAAAGCCCCAGCCGANGAUAAAAUAACCCAAAGAGGGGAGGGGCCANAAGCCNGCAUCGAUCACCCGGGGAAACAUUUAAUAUAGNGGGCAGUUAAACAAGGGGGGCCAGCCGCUACAGGGCCAGAGAGGCCAAGGAAAAAGGUCCAACCCGUUAUGUAGAAAGAAGCAUUUCCCCCCGAGACGAUCCAACUAGGGAGGAAANGCCCNAGGGCAAGAGACGAAANAAGCAUAGGGCCAGAUAGCCAUAGNAAGUAAGGUACGCANAGAACCGGCAUGUCCNAUAGGCAACUAUCCCCAGAGAGUAGUUAGAGCAAGGCUNNANACACUACAGUAUCAAACAUUUCGGGAGGAGAAGCCCCNAUGUGAGCAA